UGCCGCGUGAGUGAAGAAGGCCUUUGGGUUGUAAAGCUCUUUUGUAGGGGAAGAUAAUGACUGUACCCUAAGAAUAAGGUCCGGCUAACUUCGUGCCAGCAGCCGCGGUAAUACGAAGGGACCUAGCGUAGUUCGGAAUUACUGGGCGUAAAGCGCGCGUAGGCCGUUGAGUUAGUUAAUUGUGAAAUCCCAAAGCUUAACUUUGGAACUGCAAUUAAAACUGCUCGACUAGAGUUUGAUAGAGGACAGCGGAAUACAUAGUGUAGAGGUGAAAUUCGUAGAUAUUAUGUAGAACACCAGUUGCGAAGGCGGCUUUCUGGGUCAACACUGACGCUGAGGCGCGAAAGUAUGGGUAGCAAAGAGGAUUAGAUAACCUCGUAGUCCAUACCAUAAACGAUGAUUGCUAGAUGUUGGAAAUUUAUUUUCAGUAUCGCAGCUAACGCAUUAAGCAAUCCGCCUGGGGAGUACGACCGGAAGGUUAAAACUCAAAGUGACUUGACGGGGACCCG
This 509-nucleotide ribosomal RNA is filed under the name uncultured archaeon. RNAcentral's name for it is "bacterial SSU rRNA". It matches the Rfam family "Bacterial small subunit ribosomal RNA", at positions 395 to 923 of the family's 1533-position model. The record is from RNAcentral.